AAUCAGAAACGAGAAACUUCUAUCAUCAUCUCCGAACAGAAACGAUUUGGACCAUAUUCUCCUUCUUCUACGUAUUUUUUGUUUCGCUUCUGGAUUUUGAGAAAUAUAUUCUCGAUUGCUCUUCUUCAAACUCUUCUCCCUCUCUCUCUGAAUCUCUUUCCUCUCCGUUGUUGUGCUGGAUUAAGCUUGCAAAGGAAACCCCUCGGAGAGUACACCAACACCAUCCUCCAGAAUUUCCCCACAAAUGUCUUCUUAGGCUGCUUCUCUCAUCAAAUUCGCGAAUCCGAGGAGGUCGUUACCAUAGAGUACUACUAAUUAUAAGCCCUUCACGGCUGCAAAAGAGUUUGAGUCUGAGCUGAAGAUGAGCCCUGAAGAUUCUGUUGGUGACUCAUCUCCAGUAGCAAUGAGUAACAAAAAGAGGAAGAUAAUGAAGUUUCAUCGAGUUCAAAGAAAAAUAUAUGAAUGAAAAUAAAAUUCACCUUUUCUGUAUCUACAACAAUUUGUGCAAUGGGUUUAGAUCAAAUAUCCUUAUUGAA
Molecule: long non-coding RNA, 536 nt
Organism: Eutrema salsugineum
Lineage: Eukaryota; Viridiplantae; Streptophyta; Magnoliopsida; Brassicales; Brassicaceae
Exons: 2
Source: RefSeq, a predicted model, not a curated record